RNAcentral lists this long non-coding RNA (3328 nucleotides) under Lactuca sativa (garden lettuce). Its description in RNAcentral is "long non-coding RNA (LSAT_LNC003178)". The record is from RNAcentral. Lineage: Eukaryota; Viridiplantae; Streptophyta; Magnoliopsida; Asterales; Asteraceae.
UACCCAUUUUCGACCCAAAAAUAUUUCUUAAUUUCAUGAGACAAAAAUCAAUGGCAUUCAUCGGUGAUUCAAUCUCUCGCAACCAUGUGCAAUCGCUUCUAUGCAUUCUUUCUCAGGUAUAACAUGACUGACUUUGGCUAAAACUGAUAGGUAAAAUAAUUGAAUGAGUAAUAAUGUAUGUCUACAGUUGUAGAGUUAAAUAAUGAUUAUUUUAUUCUAAAAUGAACUUAUAAUAUAAAUUUAUUUUAAUAACUAAAUUGAGGAUAAGUUGGAAGAAGAAAAAAAAAAAGACAAAAUAUGUAAAGGGUUGAUCUUAAGUUUAACCAAUUAAGUUAUUCUAUCAAUAUUAAGCAAAAAUAAAUGAACAUGUAUAGUCGUCUAGAUGAAGUGUUUGACCCAUUAAACUCAUCAACUAAAAAAGAAAAAACAUGAUAAUAAUGUCAAUAGAACAAAAAUUAUAUUUUUGCAGGUAGAAAAGCCAGUGGAGGUGUACCAUGAUGAGGAAUAUCGAACACGCAGAUGGUUUUUCGAAUCACAUAAGUUUACACUUUCGGUGAUUUGGUCGCCUUUUUUAAUCGAAUCCAAAAUCUUCGAGGACAAUGAUGGCCAUGCCUCAAGUGCUGUACAAGCCCGACUUGAUGAGUCGGACCCUGAAUGGGCCAACGAGUUUCAUAACUUUGACUAUAUCGAGAUCGGUGCAGGGAAAUGGUUUUUGAAGACGACAUUCUACUUUGAGAACAACGAGAUUAUCGGGUGUCAUAAUUGUAAAAAAGAGAAUGUACCCGAGCUAGGGUUUUAUUACGCGUAUCGUAAAGCUUUACAGACCACUCUCGAUUUUAUUACAAAAUCGGAUCAUAAAGUUUACACAUUGUUUCGGACCACCACACCGGAUCAUUUUGAGAAUGGGGAGUGGAACACAGGCGGGUAUUGUAACAGGACGGGCCCGUUUGAAGAAGGUGAUAUAGAAUUGAGAGAUAUUGAUAUGGUAAUGAGAGGGAUUGAAUUGGAAGAAUUUGAGAAGGCAGUUCGGGUUAUGGACGGGUCAAGAGAUGGGUCGAUUUUGAAGCUUUUUGAUACGACCCGUUUAUCUUUGCUGAGGCCCGAUGGGCACCCGGGUCCUUACCGGGCUUUCCAUCCGGAUACAAAUGGUGAAGUUCAAAAUGAUUGUUUGCAUUGGUGCUUGCCCGGCCCAAUAGACUCAUGGAAUGAUUUACUUAUGAACAUGUUGCUUAGAGGUUAAAGACAAUAGCGAGGUCUAAUCCAUGGUUUUGAUUUGGAUAAAACCAGAAUGUCUUCGUUGUUGAAGAUGAAGGUAUAUAACGGUUUAUAUAGUAGUUGACUAUGGUUUCCUAUGUUCGUUUGUUGGUGAGGUUAUAAAUUUAUAAUACAAGCGGGGCUACUUAUGCUUGACUUCAAAUUAGUUUAUUUAAUUCGAGUUCACUUCAUCAAUUAACGUUACAUUACGUGUGAAGAUCAUUUACCAAAUGCAUGAUGCGUAAUGAUCAGAUUUUAUGUAUUAAUAAAUGUUUUUUUCCUACGAUUUUCUUAAACAAUAAUGGAAUUUAUCAAAAAAAAAAAAAGUAUGAAGGAUAUCAUAACUAUUCAUAAGAAAGUUGUCACGUAUUUGGUUCAGUGAAAAUAAAAAUAGAAUGAAAUUCAACAGUAAGAUUUAAAGUAUUUCAAAUUUUUAUUUAUAAUUUUAUUUACAUAUUGCAAUGCCUCCGCUUGACUCGAAGGCGAACAAUGUUGUUAAAACCAUGUUCAUAAUCUUACAAUCCCAUCUUGAUAACUCGAUUCCAAUUUUACUUAGAAAAACGAUAAAAUCAUGUUAUCAGAUCAUUACCAUUUUUUUUUAAAUUCAAAUAUUUUAUCUUGUACUAACUAAGUGGAACAAAUAUGAACUCUAGAAAAAACUCAUUUUGAAUUAUUUAUUGUUAAAUGAUAUAUUUAAGAUGUAGUUUUUCAUGUUUUAAACUAUUUAUUGUUAAAUUGAUAGUUAACUAAUUGAUAAAAAUGUAUUUUUAUGUUUUAAGUUAUUCAAUCUAAUAAUCACAAUCUUGCAAAGCAUAAAACAAACAAUUUUACAUAACAUCCAAAAAUUCCCGAUCUUCACAACCUUAAUUUCUAAGAUAAAGACAAUGUUAGAGCUAUGAUUAUAUGUUAAGACAAUAGUAAAGUUGUUUCAUAUGAUGCUUUGCAACUUUGGGUGUAAAAUUCUAUAGAUAUGGAAUUUGAAAGAUUCCAGCAAAACUAAAUUCCAUCCAUUUAGCAACCAAACACAUCAUGGAAUUGAGAAAUCAGAAUAAGUGAAACCAAACAUACCCUAAUACUUUGAUUAUGAAACGGGAAAAGCAAAAAAUGAAAUUAAGCAUGCAUGAACUCAUAAAUGCAGCCCACAAAGAGUUAUCAAAAUUUAUUCAUGAAAAAGAGUCGGAUUUUGAGAACACAUGUGCAAAUUAAGAACCAAAAUAAACAUUCAACAAGAGGAAGCAUAGCAUCAUUUUAAAGGAUGUGAAUUCACCUCUCAACAUCUUCUUCUACUUGCCUUGCUUCUUUUCUGGUGGCUUAGCAAAGGGAUCCUGCAUAUGCAGAAAAUAUAGAAAGUGUAAGAAAUGGGUAUACAUCAGCAAUAAUCUGUUUAAAACUUUAAAUGCGUAUCCCAACACCCCCUUCUACAUUGAGAAACUGGUUCUUCCAUUUAAACCUAGAACUUCCCAAUGCAAAUUCAUACGGACAUGUUAAAAAUCGAAUCUUGGAAGUUGCUAAUUAAUUCAUUUCGGAUCCAAAACCUAAGGUGAAGGAGAGUAUAAUCAUGGAUUUCCAUCAUAAAGAAAAGUUUACAAUCACAAUGUCUCUGAACCGGUCGGCAUCAAAAAACCUAGGUUUAAGGUAAAACGAAUCAACAACAUUUCUUAUCGAGAUUUCAAAUUGAAAUCGAGUAAAAUCCGAACAGAUUAACGUGAUACAAAUACCACAAAUUUUGAGAAAUCAACGACAUGCGAUAAUUGGUAUAAAAAUCAAGGGUUUGAAGUAGUCAUUUGAUAGGAGAAGAGAUUUACGAUUACUUACUUGUUUGAAGAUAAAAUUUAGGGCAAGAGCAGCGCCUGCAACGCCGCCAACCAAAACAGCUGGACCCGUUAUCAAACUCCAUUUCCUGUAAAUCAUUCUUCUUCCUCUUCCUCUUUCUUCCUCCUCUUCGGCUUACUCAAACAAACAAAGGAUCCUGAUUUUCCCAAUUUCCGAUCACUGCGUAUUUGUCCGAAGGUGGGCUUAAGCAUAAAUUGACAAAAUAAACGGAGUCCGAUCAGAUGGGCUUUUGGCGAUUUAC